RNAcentral lists this transfer RNA (73 nucleotides) under Emticicia aquatilis. RNAcentral's name for it is "tRNA-His". It matches the Rfam family "tRNA". Rfam says of the family: Transfer RNA (tRNA) molecules are approximately 80 nucleotides in length. The record is from RNAcentral. Lineage: Bacteria; Pseudomonadati; Bacteroidota; Cytophagia; Cytophagales; Leadbetterellaceae.
UUGCGAUUAGUGUAGUGGUCAGCACGACAGUCUGUGGUUCUGUUAGCACGAGUUCGAAACUCGUAUUGCAACC